GUGGGGAAUAUUGGGCAAUGGGGGCAACCCUGACCCAGCAACGCCGCGUGAGGGAAGAAGGUUUUCGGAUUGUAAACCUCUGUCCUAUGGGAAGAAGGAAGUGACGGUACCAUAGGAGGAAGCCCCGGCUAACUACGUGCCAGCAGCCGCGGUAAUACGUAGGGGGCGAGCGUUGUCUGGAAUUACUGGGCGUAAAGGGUGCGCAGGUGGCCUGACAAGUCAGAUGUGAAAUACCGAUGCUUAACGUCGGGGCUGCAUUUGAAACUAUGAGGCUGGAGUGCAGGAGAGGGAAGCGGAAUUCCUAGUGUAGCGGUGAAAUGCAUAGAUAUUAGGAGGAACACCAGUGGCGAAGGCGGAUUACUGGACGAUAACUGACGCUGAGGCGCGAAAGCGUGGGGAGCAAACAGGAUUAGAAACCCUGGUAGUCC
This 428-nucleotide ribosomal RNA is filed under the name uncultured bacterium. RNAcentral's name for it is "partial 16S ribosomal RNA". It matches the Rfam family "Bacterial small subunit ribosomal RNA", at positions 354 to 796 of the family's 1533-position model. The record is from RNAcentral.